AACGAACGCUGGUGGCGUGCUUAACACAUGCAAGUCGAACGAGAAAAUUUCCUUCGGGGAACUAGUAAAGUGGCGCAAGGGUGAGUAACACGUGAAUAAUCUGCCCUCGAGAUCGGGAUAACAUGGUGAAAACUAUGCUAAUACCGGAUAAGACCACAUUUCAAAAGAAAUGCGGGAAAAGGAGUCUCAACCUUCACUCGAGGAUGAGUUCGCGCAACAUUAGCUUGUUGGUGGGAUAAAAGCUCACCAAGGCUACGAUGUUUAGCCGGCCUGAGAGGGUGAUCGGCCACACUGGAACUGAGACACUGCCCAGACUCCUACGGGAGGCUGCAGUCGAGAAUCUUCCGCAAUGCGCGCAAGCGUGACGGAGCGACGCCGCGUGGGUGAUG
RNAcentral lists this ribosomal RNA (389 nucleotides) under uncultured Nitrospina sp. RNAcentral's name for it is "bacterial SSU rRNA". It matches the Rfam family "Bacterial small subunit ribosomal RNA", at positions 29 to 410 of the family's 1533-position model. The record is from RNAcentral. Lineage: Bacteria; Pseudomonadati; Nitrospinota; Nitrospinia; Nitrospinales; Nitrospinaceae.